RNAcentral lists this unclassified non-coding RNA (215 nucleotides) under Hevea brasiliensis (rubber tree). The record is from RNAcentral. Lineage: Eukaryota; Viridiplantae; Streptophyta; Magnoliopsida; Malpighiales; Euphorbiaceae.
GGGAGGAUUAUCAACAGGUUUGCCAAGGAUAUAGGGGACAUCGAUAGAAGUGUUGCACCCUUUGUAAGCAUGUUCCUGGGCCAGGUGUUUCAGCUUAUCUCAACAUUUGUCCUAAUUGGUAUAGUGAGUACCAUGUCUUUAUGGGCAAUAAUGCCGUUGUUGGUCCUUUUCUACGGAGCCUAUUUAUAUUAUCAGAGCACUGCUCGUGAGGUGAA